This is a long non-coding RNA of Esox lucius (northern pike), 4895 nucleotides long. RefSeq annotates it as NACHT, LRR and PYD domains-containing protein 12. The transcript is spliced from 13 exons. NCBI's taxonomy places the organism in Eukaryota, Metazoa, Chordata, Actinopteri, Esociformes, Esocidae. The record is from RefSeq and is a predicted model, not a curated record.
GUGCCCAGUUGCUGACAUGACAAUCUCCCUCCACUUCUGUCAGAAGAAAAUGUCUUCUACCAGACAGAUCAAGAAUCAAUAGGGACAGAGAGAUGGCGAACAUCUGUUCCAAAUGUAGGAGAGAAGAGGAGAACUUUCCUAUUGUUCCCAAAGACAUUGGAGAGAAGAUAGAAGUGGUGAACAGUGUUCUGAUUACAUUAGAGGGGCCCAGUGGAGAGGAGAAAGGAGACUGUGACAAUGUAAGGAGUGGAGCAAAUGCUCUUGGCCAAAGAACCACUCCCUCUCAUGACUCCAUGGAGACAGAGAAAAGAUCAGAGGAAAAAGACGCUGAGUUUGUGGACAGACACAGAGCUGAUCUCAUUCAAAAGGUUAUUAUGGUGAUGCCUAUAGCAGAUGACCUGUUCCAGAUGGAUAUGAUCCAUAAAGAGAUGUACUCUAACAUCCAUGUUGCCAAGACCAGUCAGGACCAGAUGAGGGAGCUGUACAAGGCUUUAAACUCAGGGGGAGUUAAAGUCAAAUCAGCCUUCUACUGGAUCCUGCAGAACAAAGAGACUUAUUUGGUCCACGAACUCGGGACUGACUGUAAAGACAGGGUCUAUAGCAGACAGACAAGCAACAAUGGGCAGAGGCCUGUGGACGAUAUCGCACAAAGAGUUAAAGAGAAACUUAAAGCCAGUCUGAAGGAGAAGUUUAGGUUCCUGUGUGAAGGCACUGCAGAGGAAAAAACUCUACUUGACCGCAUUUACACCCAGCUCUACAUCACCCAGGGAGAGAGUGAAGGGGUUAAUACAGAACAUGAGGUUAGACAGAUUGAAAAUACAUCCAGGAAAAAAAACACAUCAGACACUCCAAUCAACUGCAAUGACAUCUUCAAACCCUCACCUGGAGAGAAGAGUGAAGAGGAGAGACCCAUCAGAACCGUCAUGACAAAGGGCAUCGCUGGAAUCGGAAAAACAGUCUCAGUGCAGAAGUUCAUCCUGGACUGGACAGAGGGAAGAGCCAAUCAGGAUGUGGAUUUCAUUUUUGUGUUUCCUUUCCGAGAUCUGAAUUUGAUUCAAGAUGAUCAGUACAGUCUUCAAGGGAUUUUGAGUUAUUUUCACCCCGAACUUGAAGAGAUAAAAUAUGCACACAGAUAUGUUGACUGUAAAGUCAUGUUCAUCUUUGAUGGCCUGGAUGAAAGCAGAUUACCAUUAGCUUUUAAUAAGAAUAAGAAACUGAGUCAUCUAAAUGAGACAUCUUCAGUUGACAGGUUGAUGACAAACCUCAUUGAUGGAAAUCUACUCCCCAAAGCCCUCAUCUGGAUAACCUCCAGACCCGCAGCAGCCAAUCAGAUCCCUCAUGAGUACAUCAGCAAGGUGACAGAAGUACGAGGGUUCAGUGACAAACAGAAAGAAGAAUACUUUAAGAAGAUAGUUACAGAGAAGAACCUAGUUAGUAGAAUCAUCUCACACAUUAAGACAUCAAGAAGCCUCCACAUCAUGUGUCACAUACCAGUCUUCUGUUGGAUUACAGCCAGGGUUCUUCAGCACAUGAUGACUGAAGGAAAGAGUGGAGACAUCACAACUCUGACGGAGAUGUACGCUCACCUCACACUCAUUCAGACAAAUCUGAAAAGCAAAAAGUAUGAUGGCACAACCGAGAAUGAUUUCAACACAAUCACAGAAAGACACAAAGAAAUAAUUCUAAAACUGGCACAACUGGCAUUUCAGCAGCUGGUGAAGGGGGAUCUCAUAUUCUAUAAGAAAGACCUGGAAGAGUGUGACAUUGACAUCAGUGAAGCUUCAGUGAACUCUGGAUUUUGCACAGAAAUUAUUAAAAAAGAGCAGGUGGUACAUAAGAGAAAAGUGUAUUGCUUUGUUCACCUGAGCUUCCAGGAAUUUCUUGCUGCUCUGUACAUUUUUCAGUGCUAUGUGAGUAAGAAUUUGAUGGCUCUGGAGUCUUUCAUUGAGGAUGUGUCUUCUGAGCUGCCCUUUCAUGAGCUGCUGAAGAAGAUAGUUGAUAAAGCUUUGGAAAGUGAGAAUGGACACCUGGACCUGUUCCUCCGCUUCCUUGUUGGCAUCACACUGGAGUCCAACCAGAGACUGUUACAAGGCCUACUGCCACAGACAGAGAUCAGCUCAGAGACUGUUGAUGAAAUAAAGAAAUGCCUCAGGAAGCCGCAUUUAGAGCAAGUCUCACCAGACAGGUACAUCAAUCUACUCAUCUGCUUGACUGAGAUGAAAGAUGAUUCAGUACAUGAGGACAUUGACAAGUUCCUGAGGUCUAGAAAUAAUAGAGGACAACUGACAGGUACACACUUCUCAGCACUGGCCAACGCACUGCUGAUGUCAAAGGGUGUGCUGGAUGAGAUUGAUCUGAGGACAUACAACUGGUCACCUGGGUGUACGAGACUGGUCCCAGCUGUCAGGAAAUGCAGAAAGGCAAUACUGGUUGGCUAUCGAUUGUCUAAAGAAAACUACGAAUCACUGGCUACCAUCGUCCAAUCUGAAGACUCACAUCUGAGAGAACUGAACCUAGGGGAUCUAGGGUUUCUUGAUCCUGACGAUUAUGAAGAAGGCAGCCUGACUGUUCUCUGUGAUGAUCUGAAACAUCCACACUGUAAACUGGAGACCCUGAGGCUUGGUGGCUUUAAACUCUCUGUGGAGGACUGUAGAUCACUGGCAUCUGCUCUCCAAUCAGAAAACUCCCCUCUAAGAGAACUGGACCUGAGGAACAGUGAUCUGUCUGAUGAUGGAAUAAGUAAACUCUUUACAGCUCUGAAAGAUCCUCACUGCAAAAUACAGACACUGAGACUGGGUAGCUUAAGCCUCUCUGAGGUGGACUGUAGAUCACUGGCCUCUGUUCUCCCACUGGCAAACACGUCUCUGAUAAAACUGGACCUGAGGAACUGUGAGCUGUCUAAUGACGGAAGGGAACUACUUAUGGCUCUGCAAUAUCCACGAUGUAAACUACAGACACUGAGGCUGAAUGGCUGUAAUCUGACGGACAGAUCUUGUGAAGUGUUGGCCUCAGCUCUCAGUUCAAACUCCUCUCAUCUGAAAGAGUUGGACCUGAGUUACAAUGACCUGCUGGACUCUGGAGUUAAGCUGCUCUGUGUGGGACUGCGGCAUCACAACUGUAAAGUGGAACAACUGAGGCUGUCAUUCUGUAAAGUUACACAGGAAGGCUCCGAUUCUCUGGCUUCAGCUCUGAGGUCAAAUCCUUCCCACCUGAGAGAACUGGACCUGAGCUUCAACCGCCCAGGAGACUCUGGAGUGAAGCUGCUCUCUGAUAGACUGGAGGAUCCUGACUGGAGACCGGAGAAACUGAAUGUGGACCAUAAUGAAGAGUUCUGGGCGAAACCACAGCUGAUGAAGAAAUAUUACUGUGAUCCCAUUCUGGACCCAAACACAGCACACAGACACCUCUCUCUGUCUGAGGGCAACAGAAGGGCAGAGUUUGUGGAAGAGGAGCAGCCGUAUCCUGAUCACCAAGACAGAUUUGACGGCUGGCCACAGGUGUUGUGUAGAGACGGUCUGAUUGGACGCUGUUACUGGGAGGUGGAGUGGAGUGGAAAAGCUCACAUAGCAGUGACAUAUAAAGACAUCAGCAGAAAGGGGGUCAGUCCUUUCUUUGUGUUUGGAUUCAGUGACAUGUCCUGGAGUCUGGUGUGCAGGGAGGAUCAUUACAAUACCUUCCACAAUAAUGAAGAAGCUGUUAUACCUGCCCCUCACCUCAUCCAUCCUCCUCAACCUCAGAGUGACCUGACCUCCUCUCCUCCACCCAGAAUAGGAGUGUUUCUGGACUGGCCGGCCGGCACCCUGUCCUUCUAUGAGGUCCACUCUGACACAAUGUCCCACCUGUACACAUACCAGACCACAUUCACUGAGCCCCUCUACCCAGGAUUUGGGGUUAGGGUUAAGGGAAGUUCAGUGACCCUGUGUCAUGCAGGGUUGGGUAGGUUACUUUUUAAUUGCACUUCGUUAUAGUUACAAGUUACCUGUCUACAUUUGUAAUCAGUAACUUUUUGAUUACUCAAACUCAAACUGAUUACUUUCGUAUAAAGAGGCAUUAGAAAACAAAUAGGAAUAGCCUAUAACCAGUUGAACACAUUUUGCGAGAUCAAUCAAUGUUAGUGUUUACAACGGAAUUUGCAUUUUAGCCUAUGGGUUAUGUACAGUGCUUUUGGAAAGGGUUUCUAAACCAUUGCUUACUAUUUCAAUAUGAUUGGGCUACAUCUCCACAUUGCACACUAAAGGUCUAUCAGAUAUUCAGUCAUUCCAAUUAAUCCAAUAACCCUUGAUCAUCCAGAAUCUGACUUUUUAUCUCAACAUAAUCCAAAAUCAAAAGAUGUGUUAGCCAAUUCUGUUACUUGUGUUUUAUUCAUGUUUUUAAUUGCUUCAAAACAGUAACUGUCAAUUUUUCAAACAGGGUGGCUGCGUCAAAUGCAAAUCCUCAUUCUGUGGCAGAGGGCUUCCCAACACACCUUUUCUCCUCAAAUAUUCCAAUGUUUUAUCUUGAAGGCAGCGCCAUGUUACAGCUAUCUAACAAAUAGCUGCCUAAUCUAUUAAACAAUUCCUGUCUGAGUUGUUCAGUGCAACUCUUCCUGGCUGUGUUAUUUGGUGCAUUUGAAAAAUAUAUAACACGAUGUAGGCCUAUCGCCUAUUGUUGUUCUGAGAAGACGCGUUACACCAGUAGAUAGCUAAAUCCCAUUUUAUUUGAGUCGGCUAAUAUUAUCGUAGAUAUAGGCCUACUCUGUUUUUACCAGCCAUCCAACCAACCAAAAUCUGAGGAAAUUAAACUAACCCUUCAUCAGUCACUAAUCUCGUUGUGCGCGCCCACCUUUCCACGCUUGAUGAUCACACACAACUGAGGCUAUUUUGGUUCAAAUAACAAUGUUUUUAAAACAUUACAUA